This 119-nucleotide ribosomal RNA is filed under the name Helianthus annuus (common sunflower). The record is from RNAcentral. Lineage: Eukaryota; Viridiplantae; Streptophyta; Magnoliopsida; Asterales; Asteraceae.
GGUUGCGAUCAUACCAGCACUAAUGCAUCUGAUCCCAUCAGAACUCCGCAGUUAAGCGUGCUUAGGCGAGAGUAGUACUAGGAUGGGUGACCCCCUGGGAAGUCCUCGUGUUGCAACCC